GUAGAUGUAAAUAUUUUCCUCAAUAAACUAGGUCAAACUUGAGGAAGCUUGACUUUCGAAACAAUCUGUAUGCACUAUAAUUCGGAUAGAAAAACAUCACUUUGACAUGCUCUUUCUCGCUGAACAUUCUACCUAGCAAGGAGCAUAGCAAUAAUGUGAUGCAUGCAAUUGUCGCGGAAAGAAAGAAAGAGAGAAAUAGAAUGUCAUUCUUUCGAAAUCAAUCGAUUUAUUAUCAUCCAGACAGUAUAGGACAUAAAGCCUGAUUCCCAUUAUAAUGUCUUGGCUAUCUCAAUGGGACAUUGGUAUUUGCCACCUAACUCAUGUGGCAUNN
This 331-nucleotide long non-coding RNA is filed under the name Hordeum vulgare. RNAcentral's name for it is "long non-coding RNA (HVUL_LNC004303)". Lineage: Eukaryota; Viridiplantae; Streptophyta; Magnoliopsida; Poales; Poaceae. The record is from RNAcentral.